CGCACGGGUGAGUAACACGUAUCCAACCUGCCGUCUACUCUUGGACAGCCUUCUGAAAGGAAAAUUAAAUACAAGAUGGCAUCAUGAGUCCGCAUGUUCACAUGAUUAAAGGUAUUCCGGUAGACGAUGGGGAUGCGUUCCAUUAGAUAGUAGGCGGGGUAACGGCCCACCUAGUCUUCGAUGGAUAGGGGUUCUGAGAGGAAGGUCCCCCACAUUGGAACUGAGACACGGUCCAA
Molecule: ribosomal RNA, 236 nt
Filed under: uncultured bacterium
Lineage: Bacteria
Description: partial 16S ribosomal RNA
Rfam family: Bacterial small subunit ribosomal RNA
Source: RNAcentral